This 762-nucleotide ribosomal RNA is filed under the name uncultured bacterium. Its description in RNAcentral is "bacterial SSU rRNA". It matches the Rfam family "Bacterial small subunit ribosomal RNA", at positions 8 to 766 of the family's 1533-position model. The record is from RNAcentral.
AGAGUUUGAUCCUGGCUCAGGAUGAACGCUGGCGGCGUGCCUAAUACAUGCAAGUCGAACGAAGUAAUUUGGAUAAGUUUACUUAACUAAAUGACUUAGUGGCGAACGGGUGAGUAAUACAUAAAUAACCUGCCCCGAUGUCUGGAAUAACAGUUGGAAACGAUUGCUAAUGCCGGAUAUGAUAUUUGGAAGCAUUUCCUAAUAUUGAAAGAUGGGAUACAUCGCAACGGGAUGGAUUUAUGGCGCAUUAGUUAGUUGGUGAGGUAACGGCUCACCAAGACGAUGAUGCGUAGCCGGCCUGAGAGGGUGACCGGCCACACUGGGACUGAGACACGGCCCAGACUCCUACGGGAGGCAGCAGUGGGGAAUAUUGCACAAUGGGCGCAAGCCUGAUGCAGCGACGCCGCGUGGGGGAUGACGGCCUUCGGGUUGUAAACUCCUUUCGCCAGGGACGAAGCGUUAUAGUGACGGUACCUGGAUAAGAAGCACCGGCUAACUACGUGCCAGCAGCCGCGGUAAUACGUAGGGUGCAAGCGUUGUCCGGAAUUACUGGGCGUAAAGAGCUCGUAGGUGGUUUGUCACGCCGUCUGUGAAAGUCCAGCGCUUAACGCUGGGAUUGCAGGCGAUACGGGCUGACUUGAGUGCUGUAGGGGAGACUGGAAUUCCUGGUGUACCGGUGAAAUGCCCAAAUAUCAGGAGGAACACAAAUGGCAAAGGGCAGGCUCUGGGCAGUGACUGACGCUGAAGAACCAAAGCCUGGGG